UACUCGAGUGGCGAACUGGUGAGUAACACGUGGGUGAUCUGCCCUGCACUUCGGGAUAAGCUUGGGAAACUGGGUCUAAUACCGGAUAGGAGCCAUCUUUAGUGUGGUGGUUGGAAAGUUUUUUCGGUGUAGGAUGAGCUCGCGGCCUAUCAGCUUGUUGGUGGGGUAAUGGCCUACCAAGGCGGCGACGGGUAGCCGGCCUGAGAGGGUGUACGGCCACAUUGGGACUGAGAUACGGCCCAG
This 243-nucleotide ribosomal RNA is filed under the name uncultured Actinomycetales bacterium. RNAcentral's name for it is "partial 16S ribosomal RNA". It matches the Rfam family "Bacterial small subunit ribosomal RNA", at positions 88 to 334 of the family's 1533-position model. The record is from RNAcentral. Lineage: Bacteria; Bacillati; Actinomycetota; Actinomycetes; Actinomycetales.